AGUGAACGCUGGCGGCAGGCCUAAUACAUGCAAGUCGAACGGCAGCACAGCAGAGCUUGCUCUGUGGGUGGCGAGUGGCGGACGGGUGAGGAAUACGUGGGAAUCUGCCCAGUCGUGGGGGAUAACGUAGGGAAACUUACGCUAAUACCGCAUGCGCCCUUCGGGGGAAAGCCGGGGGACCUUCGGGCCUGGCGCGAUUGGAUGAGCCCACGUCGGAUUAGCUAGUUGGCGGGGUAAAGGCCCACCAAGGCGACGAUCCGUAGCUGGUCUGAGAGGAUGAUCAGCCACACUGGAACUGAGACACGGUCCAGACUCCUACGGGAGGCAGCAGUAGGGAAUAUUGGACAAUGGGCGCAAGCCUGAUCCAGCCAUGCCGCGUGAGUGAAGAAGGCCCUCGGGUUGUAAAGCUCUUUUGUCCGGAAAGAAAGCGCCGGGUUAAUACCCGUGGUGUCCUGACGGUACCGAAGAAUAAGCACCGGCUAACUUCGUGCCAGCAGCCGCGGUAAU
Molecule: ribosomal RNA, 507 nt
Filed under: uncultured bacterium
Lineage: Bacteria
Description: bacterial SSU rRNA
Rfam family: Bacterial small subunit ribosomal RNA
Source: RNAcentral